UACGUAGGGUGCGAGCGUUGUCCGGAAUUAUUGGGCGUAAAGAGCUCGUAGGCGGUGUGUCACGUCGGCCGUGAAAACCUGCAGCUUAACUGUGGGCGUGCGGUCGAUACGGGCAUCACUGGAGUUCGGCAGGGGAGACUGGAAUUCCCGGUGUAGCGGUGAAAUGUGUAGAGAUCGGGAGGAGCACCGGUGGCGAAGGCGGGUCUCUGGGCAUUUCCUGACGCUGAGGCGCGAAAGCGUGGGGAGCAAACGGG
This 254-nucleotide ribosomal RNA is filed under the name uncultured bacterium. RNAcentral's name for it is "partial 16S ribosomal RNA". It matches the Rfam family "Bacterial small subunit ribosomal RNA", at positions 524 to 776 of the family's 1533-position model. The record is from RNAcentral.